Molecule: ribosomal RNA, 460 nt
Filed under: uncultured bacterium
Lineage: Bacteria
Description: partial 16S ribosomal RNA
Rfam family: Bacterial small subunit ribosomal RNA
Source: RNAcentral
CCUACGGGCGGCAGCAGUGAGGAAUAUUGGCCAAUGGACGAGAGUCUGAACCAGCCAAGUAGCGUGAAGGAUGACUGCCCUAUGGGUUGUAAACUUCUUUUAUAUGGGAAUAAAAUGUUCCACGUGUGGGAUUUUGUAUGUACCAUAUGAAUAAGGAUCGGCUAACUCCGUGCCAGCAGCCGCGGUAAUACGGAGGAUCCGAGCGUUAUCCGGAUUUAUUGGGUUUAAGGGGAGCGUAGGUGGAUUGUUAAGUCAGUUGUGAAAGUUUGCGGCUCAACCGUAAAAUUGCAGUUGAAACUGGCAGUCUUGAGUACAGUAGAGGUGGGCGGAAUUCGUGGUGUAGCGGUGAAAUGCUUAGAUAUCACGAAGAACUCCGAUUGCGAAGGCAGUUCACUGGACUGCAACUGACACUGAGGCACGAAAGUGUGGGUAUCAAACAGGAUUAGAUACCCUUGUAGUC